GAAAAGAAACCAACCGGGAUUGCCCUAGUAACGGCGAGUGAAGCGGCAGCAGCUCAAAUUUGAAAUCUGGCCCCUGGGGCCCGAGUUGUAAUUUGCAGAAGGUGCUUCGGGAGCGGUCGUGGUCCAGGUCCCCUGGAAUUGGGCGUCACAGAGGGUGAGAAUCCCGUACGCGGCCAACGAUCAAUCCCAUGCGAAGCCCUUUCGACGAGUCGAGUUGUUUGGGAAUGCAGCUCCAAAUGGGUGGUAAACUUCAUCUAAAGCUAAAUAUUUGCUGGAGCCCGAUAGCGAACAAGUAGGGUGACCGAAAGAUGAAAAGAACUUUGAAAAGAGAGUGAAACAGUACGUGAAAUUGUUGAAAGGGAAGCGCUUGCAACCAGACUCGCGCGCGGGGUUCAGCCGCCCCUCGGGGCGGUGUACUCCCCGCUCGCGGGCCAGCAUCAGUUCGGACGGUUGGACAAAGGCCUGGGGAACGUAGCUCUCUCCGGAGAGUGUUAUAGCCCCGGGCGCCAUGCAGCCAGUCCGGACUGAGGAUCGCGCUCCGCUAGGAUGCUGGCGUAAUGGUUGCCAGCGACCCGUCUUGAAACACGGACCAAGGAGUUGACCAAUCGGGCGAGUAUUUGGGCGUUGAAACCCAGAUGCGUAAUGAAAGUGAACGUGGUGGGAGCCUCCGGGCGCACCAUCGACCGAUCUUGAUGUCUUCGGAUGGAUUUGAGUACGAGCCCGAGUGGUCUGACCCGAAAGACAGUGAGCUAUGCGUGGAUAGGGUGAAGCCAGAGGAAACUCUGGUGGAGGCUCGCAGCGGUUCUGACGUGCAAAUCGAUCGUCAAAUCUGCGCAUAGGGGCGAAAGACUAAUCGAACUGUCUAGUAGCUGGUUCCUGCCGAAGUUUCCCU
This 892-nucleotide ribosomal RNA is filed under the name Diorygma pruinosum. RNAcentral's name for it is "LSU rRNA". It matches the Rfam family "Eukaryotic large subunit ribosomal RNA", at positions 56 to 973 of the family's 3401-position model. Lineage: Eukaryota; Fungi; Ascomycota; Lecanoromycetes; Ostropales; Graphidaceae. The record is from RNAcentral.